UAUAUAUUAAAUAGCAAUGUGGUAAUGUCUAUUUAUGGCUUUCUUGGAACUUGAUGGCUGCAAACUAGAUGAUAAGAUUAUAUUUGAUAUUUAUUCUAGAGUUUCUUGCUGAAGAUGGUGGAUCAACCCCUGGCUACGGCCGCUUUGACCUCUUGGCCAGCGAGGAGAGGUUCUGUGGAAUGGUGCAGUUCAAGGGUGAUGUGAUGAAGAAGGUCUUAGUGCAGCUGUUGAUGUUGCUCUGUCACCCCUUCCCUGUUGUGAGACCAUUAGCAGGCUACUUCAGUCCAGACUUAGCCUACAGGCGCUCGUGCUGUAACCCGUAUUUAAUUCUGACUCCAUUGUCUCUCUUGGGUCUGAAGAUCAGGAAGACGACAGCCAGCCAGGUAUAGGAUAUGCUCUUGACCUACGAUGAUGUCAUUGACGAUGAUCAGGGUGCUGGCUGAUGUCAUGGCCUCGCUUAGUGACACUAAUGGAAAGUGACAUCACCACAGUGCGUACCCAAAGGAAUCAGCUCUGUGAUUGGUUGGGAGUGCCCAAGCUAACUCUGGUCACCAAGUAACAUAUUUAGGCCACUGAAGAGGUUUUAUGUGAGAACAUUUUGUAUUGUGGGGACUGUUGCAUCAACCCGCAUCUGACAUCCAGAUGCUGCUUCCUGCGUUACUCAUCCACUGGUGGGCGAUACAUUAGUGGGCGUUUGGUCUCCUAAUCAGGCACAGAAACCGUCAGUUACCAGAAAAUAUGGCUUUCUCAAAAAAAUGUGAAGAUUGGCCAGCUCUGGUUGUUCACAUGCUGGAAUGCACAAUACAGCCCAUGGCAAGAGUGGAAUAGAUGAGCUGCCAUGAUAGUCCCUUUCACACAUAUACACUGUAAAAAAAUGACUGUGAUUUUAACGGUAAAGAACUGUGAAAAUGCUACAGUACAAACCUGUUUACCGGUUAACGGUAAUUUCCUGUAAACUUUACAGGGAAAAACCGUAAACUUACGUUCCCA
This is a long non-coding RNA of Carassius gibelio (silver crucian carp), 990 nucleotides long. RefSeq lists it as uncharacterized. The record is from RefSeq and is a predicted model, not a curated record. NCBI's taxonomy places the organism in Eukaryota, Metazoa, Chordata, Actinopteri, Cypriniformes, Cyprinidae. The transcript is spliced from 3 exons.